AGAGGCAAAAGCAUUACUUAGGAAAACAAAGCAACCUGUUGAACUUCAAAGCCUUAAUGUUCGUGUGUCUGCUAUUGGUUCUUGUAUUGAUUUUACACUUAGUCACAAGGGAGGUAUUCGUUUAAUAGUGCGCUAUUGAUUUACUAUAUCACACCGUGACUGAAUGAUUUAUUUCUCUUUGCUGGAGAUUCAUUGAUUACAAUUCACAUGAUGAAAAGCAGUUUACGGGGUUGAUGGGGGAUGUGUAGGAUCAGGGAAUCCACUAAGGUCUAAUGGAGGUCAAUGCCUACUGCUCUCUCUCUCUGUCAGUCAAAAUCACUCCCUCUGUGUCAAUGAUUACCAUUUGUUUGAAAGGUCCACACAGGUCUACAAGUUUUACAAAAAGUCCUACAAAACCGACAUUGUUCAACUUGCUAGUAAAACGGGCCUUCAACAUAUCAGAGCUGGAAGUUAACAUUAGCAGUUUGUUAAGACUGGUAAAGAACAGUUAUUCUACUGUUAACACAUAGGCUACUGCAUCCUCAAAGUGCAUUCUUAGUGAGUUUGGUUUCUUUUUCAGAAUCAAUUCAAUUUAAAUACCAAACUAUAUUCAUUAUGCACGAAUGCAUAGCUCUUCAAGGUCUACAGCACAUUCUUUUGUUAUCGUGGACAAAACACUGCAUCAAAAUAUUCUCACAGACCAUGUUUCAUACUGAAUGUACCGUGCCACAAUGUAACAAAUUAACAAACAUAAAAUGUGACCAGUUUAGACUGAUCCAUAUGUUUAAUAAAGAGGUGUAAUAAGUACCUGAAAAGCAUACUUGAGUAAAAGUACACAUACCUUACAGCAAUUAGAAAGCCAUGGACGUCAUUAUUUUUUCUCCCGACCUUAUUGAAUAAGCAUUUAUAGGAUUUUCCAUUUCAGACACAAUUUAUGGGAGGAGAAUAUUAAAAAGAACCAUGCAAUGCAUUUUACUAACAUUUGCGCUCAUCAAAUUACUGGUAUACGCGCCAUUAUUUAAUGCCCAAAAAAAGCAUGUCUUAAAAAGCAGGCAGUAAUUUGCGCUGCUCUUGGUAAAUUGCGCUGGUAUUUAUGAAAAUGAUCUGGCUGCGUCUGUUCUUUAAUGUGUGCAUUUUUAGUAAGUCACACACAGAAUUUUCCGCUCCCAUUGGCGCUUUUAUGGAAUUGUGCUCUUACGCUAAUUUGCCCCGUUUAGUAAAUCUGGCCCAUAAUGUGUACUUACAGAUAGAAAAUCACUAUAGAGUUUUGUUGUAUUGAAAAGUCUUUUGAUCAUCAGAACAAUCACUAAAUUGUUGAUUAAUAUUUGUUGAUGAAAAUUAAAAGUAUAUAGGAUCAAUUAUUGUGGGUUACUAAAAGAAUCAGUGACUGAGAUCACAAUCUGAACCAGAUUUGUUACAUACUAUUCAUAUCCCCAAUCCUUGUAUGACUCUAGUCCACAGAGUCCCAGACUGUAGCACUAACCAUAUUUACAGCGUACCGCUGAUUCUAUCAUAUGAGCUUGGGUUUUCUGUCAUAUUAAUUGAAAGUUGUCUGUCAUGACUGCUUACAAUCAAACCUACAAGACAUUAUAGAGAGACUCAUUCAGAAAAACACACUGAAAACAAAGCCAUUAAGAACUCUCAUUCACUCUCCUAACGUCUUGGAAUUUGGAUGCCAUUCAAAUUUGGAAGCAAAAAGCCAUUUGUCUGAGAAGCUUCCUCCUCCACAUAAUGUAAUUAGAUUGAACAUUUGCCAAGGAGUAAUAUUUUAAGAAUGGAGGGGAUGUGGGCAUGCUGAAUGGCAAGCUUUUUGCUGAAGCUCACCUUAUGAAUAUAAACACCUCACUUCCCGUCACAAUGACGUAAUCAGGCAACCCGUUUCAAGCUCGUCUGGAAUAACCUGACUCUCUCAAGGACACAGAACUUUCAGGAUCCAUACAGAUAAACAGAUUAGCUCUAUGUCCACCACUCUGUAUGUACAAAAUGGCUUGGAAACUACUGUCAUGCCAGUAGUCAUUUAGAAGAUGCUUUUAUCCAAAGUGACAUAUAGUGCAAUUAUUACAAGGACAAUCCCACAGGAGCAACCUGAGGUUAAAGGAGAAGGCACCGAUAUACGUCAAGCAAAGUCUCCAACAAACUUUUUUGGAAUUUGUUUUAGUGGUUUACUUUCCAAAAAACCUAGCGCUGACUGUGAAGCACCUUUGAACUAUCAUUGGUCCAUGAGAACUACAUCAUGCUGUGGCACUUCAACUUUUUGGGAAAGCUUGCGGUCGAUUUAUUAGGCGAUGAGAAGUCUCCUGGGCCCUCCACUGUAACUGGAUUAAAGUGAACACUCAGUGCUCCUAAUCACAUUUGGAAGCUCGCUCUACGUCUGCUCCUGGCUCCGUCGCCCUUCCUUUUUUUUUUUUUUUUUAGUUUUUUCCAGCAGUGCUUUGAAAAGCGAGACCCUACAGUGAUUCACUCACCUCCUAAUAUCAGACUGGACUCCACCGUUCACCAUGUGUGAAACCUAGUGUGCUGCCUGCCUAGACAACAUCUUAAAGGGGGUUUCUGCUCACCCUCACGUCAACCCGAACCUGCAUGACUUUCUUUCUUCUGCAGAACACAUAAGCCCAUGCUUG
This is a long non-coding RNA of Carassius auratus (goldfish), 2600 nucleotides long. RefSeq lists it as uncharacterized. NCBI's taxonomy places the organism in Eukaryota, Metazoa, Chordata, Actinopteri, Cypriniformes, Cyprinidae. The record is from RefSeq and is a predicted model, not a curated record. The transcript is spliced from 2 exons.